GGAGAUGGAAAGAAAACAGUUCUUACUCUCCCAUCCUCUGUAGCUGGUUUAUGGGUACCCACCCUUGAUACUAAGAUUCUUUUAAGAAGAGGAACAACAAGAGAGUUGACUCUUGUGUGCUGGUUAAUAACAGACUCUGGAGAAAGCACAACUGCCUGGAUUUAAAGCUCAGCCUUAGCUGCAUGUGACUUCAAACAAGUUACUUAACCUUUCUGAGCCUUAGUUCCCUCAAGAAAGAGGGCAGUAACAAUAGCGCUUCCUCAUGGGGUGAUGAUGAUUAAAUAAAUGAAUAUUUCUAAAGCACUUGUAACAAUACCUGGCAAACAAGAAGUAUCAUGUAGCUGUUGUUAAGUGGAACAAAAUACGAAAAGGCCACAGAUUAGACCCCUGCAUUUCCCUCAUAUAAGCCUUUGUGAGAACCAGUUUACUUUAAGUGGAUAUACAGUUUUUAACAAGUUGUCAAUGCAGACAAUUAAAGAGUCACUUUAUUGCUGUUCUUUAAGCAGGUCAAUAGGUAGGGAGUUACAUAAAGUUACAAAGGGUUGUAUUGUUGAAGAAUUCCCAUGUUUUAAUUGAGUUUCUACUAAGUAUUUAAAUCCUGUCAUGUUAUUGAGAGAUGAGAUAGGUGGAUUCCAGUGCAUCAGAUCCUUUCUAUGCUGGGAAAUUAUCUAGGAUUCCUUGAAGAUCACUCUAAAAGCUGACUAUGAGAGUACAUAAUGAGUUUUGAAAGACCUUUUGAAGAUAUUUUCUAGGAGGGAUCUAUUUUGCAGGUAAAAGAGUAUGUCCCCUUUACUGUUUCUGCUAGAAUCAAAAUUAGCUCUUUUUUUUUUUUUUUCUUGGCUUACAGUCUUAGAUGAUUUUGGAUAUAACCCCUUCUCCAAAUACUUAGUGAUUAAAGUCAGUUUUAGCAUUGGCAUUAUUUGCUCUGCAUUGAAUUCAGGCAUGACCUUUAUUAUGAGCAAUAUGAAUAUUACAGGGAAUAUUUGCAUGGCUAAUUAUUUUAUUGAAGUAAACACAGGUGUGCCAGAAGCCCUGGUGGCUCCCAGUCCCUAUGCCCCACUGUGGGUGGCAUGCCACCUCCCUUCUGCUGCCCUCCCCACGGACAUCCUCCAUCUGCAGGCUCCCCUAGUCCUGAGCCAGUGCCUGGUCCUGGUUUCCCUGGAAGUUGGUUUCUGGUUCCUUAUUCUGGAUUCUCUAUUUUGCAAAAUAAGCCUUACCCUCUGCCAUAGAUUCUUAUUCUGGGGCCAGUCAUUUUUAUGUGAAGUGGGGAACAGGUGCAUGGGAUUCUAAUGCACAUGAAAGGUCAAGAACCCUAGUGUAAACAUAAACUGCCCAAAUAUCCAUUUAGCAGUUCUCCUUGCCAGGUUAACUAGUUGGUUCUGCUCACAAGAGUUGCUUCUUGUCCCCAGUCCCCCGGGCACAGCUGUAUCUUCUCCUCAGGCCACCUCUUGCCCCAUACCUCUAGCUCCUCAAAACUGGAGCCUUUACCUGGAGUUACUAAACACCUCAGGGUAAGAUUCAUCCUGUCCCUUACAACAUUGCUUCUACUCUCAUAUACCUUCCACCCCCCAGCAUUGCUGUACAGUCAUGCCCAGACAUCCGGGCCCUAGUAAAGCAAGAAAAGAUGAGGGAGGUAGAUGGGAAGUAGCCUUUCCCCCUGUGUUUCCUCAUUAAAAGCAAUACCCCAGGAAACCUAAAAUGGUCCAAGAGGUCGUUCCAGAGACAAGAUGGAGAGUGUCAGCUCUCAGAGGAUCAGGAAGAAAAGAGCAAAUUGGACUUUGAUAUAACAGCUUAGCCAACUCUUGGGUAGAGAGGGAGGGUGGGCUGGAGCAGGGAGAAACGGUGGGGUCUCUGGUGAGCAGGAAAUCUCACACAGCUUCUCCACCAGGAGCCUCUCAUUUUCUCAUCUCCUCAGGAAGCCCUGACCAGGGAUCCAUCGACUGUAUUUGACCUGGGGAAGCUCAGCAGGUGGCAAAGUUUAGGGAGAGCCCACCAGCAAGUGGCCUGGGUCUGUACCUAUACUCCUAAGGUCUGUUUGGCGAGAAUUCGCUUAAUCUCUGUCUUUUGUGACCAUAAUACAGAAAGUGUCUUGUGUGGCCUUUAUAACACUGCUUUGUCCCUUCACACGUGCAUUUGUAAAGUCAGCUCUUUACUCUCUGGCCUUUGGGGAACUACUGCAGCGCCCUCGAUCCUGCUUAUGCCCUUUUCUUCUCUGAGGAUCCCCUCCCUUGCUAGAGCCCCUGAUUUCUCAGUAUUCCUGUCCUGCAGUACCAGAGGUUUUAACUGGUGGAGCAUGCCAGAUCCUGCAUUCCUCAUUGAGGAAUCCUACUUGGCUACUGCUAGUAACCAGUCAAACCCUUCAUCACUGGAAGAGUUGCUAAAUUGGGAGAAGUGUUGCAUUCCUUCCCCGAAUUCCAGAUUUAUCUGCCACAUGGCUUUAGUGGAAAUCAGGAGAGAAGCAGCUCAGGUUGUUUCAUGACUGUAGGUACAGUUUGGAUGGGAGGCAAUAUCCAGAGUGUAACAGGAACUUAGGGACCUGGUGGCUUUCUAGAGAUUGGUUGUCAUCCAUCCAAUCAGAAACCUGGGCUGAACUUGAGCAUCUCCAAGGUGGAACCUCUUCCCAACAUAAUGUUAAAGGUUCUUCCUCCUUGCCUCCCUGCUUCCGUCUUACUCAGGAGGGAGGUGCCUCCCUAUACAGACAGCUCCUGAGAAAGCAUAAUGGAGCAGAGCAGACUGCCACCAUUUCUUGUUAAGAUUCCAGUGUACAGACCAAAAGUGCAAGAAAACUAUUUGGGGUGGGUUUUGGAUGUUCAUGGUGGGUCUUAUUGCUGUAAUUCAGCGUUUCAUUUAUUCAGAGUGAGUUCAGGAGUCAGAGAGGAAAUGAACUGAGCUCAAUUGCAGAGAACCUUCCCCCUUGCCAGGUAAACAGUCACCAGAUUGAUAAAACCAAGUCUUUCAUAGAUACAAAGUCACCUUGGCCUUUGACCCAUGAAGCUUCAGAAAUGAGCAUGGAUGUGACUAGAAACAGGAUGGUGCAGGCAAAAUAAAUAGGAGAAGGAAUGUGGGGGGGGGGGUACAUUUUCCCAGGAGAGGCAAAGUGUUUGGAAGGAGGAUGAAGGAAAGCAGUGGGUGGAAGGAGUGAUGCUGAACAAGUGACAAGCCACAGGGUCUUGGGGACAUCACUCUCAGACCACCUGGGCUGCCGCCCGCUCUCUGUAAGGGGCCUUUGUAGGUUUGCCAAACCUGUAGCUAGAGUCCCACGGAUGGCCAUCUCAAGUCUGUUCUUCAGGGGCUCUUCAGCUUAUGAGCCUUCAAAUAGAGCCCAGAGUGCAGGCUAGCAGCCAUUCAGGAGUGAGAGGUGAGGCAAGAACCCAGGCUGUCCUUAUGCCUCUUUGGGAGGUGUUGCCCUUAGGGCUUGGGACAGCUGAAAAGGUGUGUGGAUUUGUCCUUCACCAGAAGGACAAGUUUGGCUCACAGCAGCCUGAGACACACCUGGAGCCCAGAGGAUGCUGUUGAAGUUUCCUUACCGCUCUGCAAUGGCCCCCACCCCUCAAGGCCAGGUGAAGUCGGCCUCAAGUGGGGAGCCAGAGGCGCUCUUGGCUUGACACAUCCCUCCCUUUCCUGUCCCUCUUGCUUAAGUGGUAUCAUCCCACUUCUGCUCACUGGCUCUCACCCUUGAACUUGUGUAAUCCGUCUCAUUUCCCACCCCACCCCCAUCCCCACAUUCAUCAGCAAAGACAGUGGAGGAGGGGAAGUUUUCUCUUGCAGAACAGCAUUUGCCUCCCACAAUCCAACAGCUCUUCAUGACAGGUGAGAGAAUAGGAAGGGGCAGAGCCAUGGAAGAGGCCACAGAUUUCUGUCACAGUGGGACCAGAGUCUACUGUAGUCAGACUCCCGAUUCCCCACCGACCCACAGAUAAGAAAAGGCAAGAAGGGCACGUGUAAAUAAAUAAAUAAAAGGAGUGAGUUUUCUGGCUUUGCCGUGUGCUUGCCAUUCAAACAAGAGCUGAGCAGUCUUCCCAAACUCCCACUAAGAUGCCCUGGUUAGAAAACAAAUUACUAAGUGCAGCCAGAAAGCAGCCUUUCAGAGGUCAUUAUCAGGGCCUUGUCAAUGCCAUGCCUGAUUGGGAGCAGUGUUCAGAAUCAUUUUAUUUCUCUUGUUUGGGGAAGCUUUUUUUAACUGCUCCCUGCUGUCCUGUUAUUUUUGUGCUGAACCCCCAAAGGCAGUGUUAAGUGGAUGUCGUCUUUCCAAUUUCUUCCCAGAAGCAUUUCUUUCUGGUUAACAAUGGAACCAUUUGCACAAUAAGCAGGGAAGAAGAGUGGCCAAGCUUGAGCCCCGAGAAAACCCCUAACUGGGAUGAAGGCUUGUAUGUAGGUGUUGGUCCUGGUCCCCAUCUUUCCGAUGGCACAAAGAAGGAUGAAUCAUACAGGUGGCCCCAUAAGUAAAGAAAAAUAAAGAAAUGUCUAAGCAGUCCAACACCAAGAAGAAACCUGCUGCUGUCAGUCAAGAGGAUUCAAUUUGAGAAUUGUAGAAUUACCACC
This 4542-nucleotide long non-coding RNA is filed under the name Sus scrofa (pig). Its description in RNAcentral is "lncRNA (ENSSSCG00000061998.1)". The record is from RNAcentral. Lineage: Eukaryota; Metazoa; Chordata; Mammalia; Artiodactyla; Suidae.